GACGAACGCUGGCGGCGUGCUUAACACAUGCAAGUCGAACGGAAAGGCCCUGCUUUUGUGGGGUGCUCGAGUGGCGAACGGGUGAGUAACACGUGAGUAACCUGCCCUUGUCUUUGGGAUAACUUCAGGUAACUGGGGCUACUACCGGAUAGGAGCUCCUGCUGCAUGGUGGGGGUUGGAAAGUUUCGGCGGUUGGGGAUGGACUCGCGGGUUAUCAGCUUGUUGGUGGGGUAGUGGCUUACCAAGGCUUUGACGGGUAGCCGGCCUGAGAGGGUGACCGGGCACAAGGGGACUGAGAGAGGGCCCAGACGCCUACAGGGGGCAACGGGGGGGAAUAUUGCACAAUGGGCGGGAGCCUGAUGCAGCAACGCCGGGGGCGGGAAGACGGCCUGCGGGGUGUAAACCGCUGUCGCCUGUGACGAAGCGGUAGUGACGGUAAUGGGUAAAGAAGCACCGGCUAACUACGUG
Molecule: ribosomal RNA, 468 nt
Filed under: uncultured bacterium
Lineage: Bacteria
Description: partial 16S ribosomal RNA
Rfam family: Bacterial small subunit ribosomal RNA
Source: RNAcentral